GUAGACGAAUAUGUGGAAGAGCGUAACCUUCCGCAUCUGCCGGUAAACAG
Molecule: small RNA, 50 nt
Filed under: Sinorhizobium meliloti 2011
Lineage: Bacteria; Pseudomonadati; Pseudomonadota; Alphaproteobacteria; Hyphomicrobiales; Rhizobiaceae
Description: putative ncRNA
Source: RNAcentral